RNAcentral lists this small RNA (207 nucleotides) under Arabidopsis thaliana (thale cress). RNAcentral's name for it is "ATSL192750". Lineage: Eukaryota; Viridiplantae; Streptophyta; Magnoliopsida; Brassicales; Brassicaceae. The record is from RNAcentral.
UUGAAUAAGAAAACGUAUUCAAACAAGUAAAACCAAAAACCAAAGUGUAAGAUAGUAAUAAAAAGCCUCAGUCAAAAUCCAUAUAACUUCAUAGAAAUUACAGUUUCUGCCAAGGGGUUCUCCCUGUAAAACAGGGUCUCAGCUCCACUGCACCUCGAAAUUGGAUUAUAUCAUCAUCAGCCAACAAAAAGAAAUAUCACUAAAAAA